UACGGAGGGUGCAAGCGUUAUUCGGAAUUACUGGGCGUAAAGCGCGCGUAGGUGGCUUGUUAAGCCGGUUGUGAAAGCCCGGGGCUCAACCUGGGAACGGCAUCCGGAACUGUCAAGCUAGAGUGCAGGAGAGGAAGGGAGAAUUCCCGGUGUAGCGGUGAAAUGCGUAGAGAUCAGGAGGAACACCAGUGGCGAAGGCGGCCUUCUGGACUGACACUGACACUGAGGUGCGAAAGCGUGGGUAGCAAACAGG
This 253-nucleotide unclassified non-coding RNA is filed under the name uncultured Halomonadaceae bacterium. RNAcentral's name for it is "contains 16S-23S intergenic spacer region". It matches the Rfam family "Bacterial small subunit ribosomal RNA", at positions 524 to 776 of the family's 1533-position model. The record is from RNAcentral. Lineage: Bacteria; Pseudomonadati; Pseudomonadota; Gammaproteobacteria; Oceanospirillales; Halomonadaceae.